This 913-nucleotide ribosomal RNA is filed under the name uncultured bacterium. RNAcentral describes it as "bacterial SSU rRNA". It matches the Rfam family "Bacterial small subunit ribosomal RNA", at positions 33 to 928 of the family's 1533-position model. The record is from RNAcentral.
ACGCUGGCGGCGUGCCUAAUACAUGCAAGUAGAACGCUGAAGAGAGGAGCUUGCUCUUCUUGGAUGAGUUGCGAACGGGUGAGUAACGCGUAGGUAACCUGCCUUGUAGCGGGGGAUAACUAUUGGAAACGAUAGCUAAUACCGCAUAACAAUGGGUGACACAUGUCAUUUAUUUGAAAGGGGCAAUUGCUCCACUACAAGAUGGACCUGCGUUGUAUUAGCUAGUAGGUGAGGUAACGGCUCACCUAGGCGACGAUACAUAGCCGACCUGAGAGGGUGAUCGGCCACACUGGGACUGAGACACGGCCCAGACUCCUACGGGAGGCAGCAGUAGGGAAUCUUCGGCAAUGGGGGCAACCCUGACCGAGCAACGCCGCGUGAGUGAAGAAGGUUUUCGGAUCGUAAAGCUCUGUUGUAAGUCAAGAACGAGUGUGAGAGUGGAAAGUUCACACUGUGACGGUAGCUUACCAGAAAGGGACGGCUAACUACGUGCCAGCAGCCGCGGUAAUACGUAGGUCCCGAGCGUUGUCCGGAUUUAUUGGGCGUAAAGCGAGCGCAGGCGGUUUGAUAAGUCUGAAGUUAAAGGCUGUGGCUCAACCAUAGUUCGCUUUGGAAACUGUCAAACUUGAGUGCAGAAGGGGAGAGUGGAAUUCCAUGUGUAGCGGUGAAAUGCGUAGAUAUAUGGAGGAACACCGGUGGCGAAAGCGGCUCUCUGGUCUGUAACUGACGCUGAGGCUCGAAAGCGUGGGGAGCGAACAGGAUUAGAUACCCUGGUAGUCCACGCCGUAAACGAUGAGUGCUAGGUGUUGGAUCCUUUCCGGGAUUCAGUGCCGCAGCUAACGCAUUAAGCACUCCGCCUGGGGAGUACGACCGCAAGGUUGAAACUCAAAGGAAUUGACGGGGGCCCGCACAA